GGGGGAACCAAACUUCAAACUUAGGAAGCCUGGCUCCAGACUCCGUAUCUGUCACCACUACAUUCCUGCUCCCUAGUAAAUAAAUCUCCCAGCAGAGCACAGUAAACAAAGUUAGUAGUCAAUAAAGACUGCUCUUCUCUCUCCCUUCUCUCCCCAGUUUAUAAGUAAAGGAACUAAAAGAAAAAAUUGAGCAACCUGCCAGAGAUCAAACUAGGGAGAGGAAAGCUGGACUCAAACCAGACUUCUAUUCAAGCAGACUCCUAGCCAGUCUCCUGGCCUCCACUCUGACCUAUUCAGCUCUAAAGGAAAUCACAGAGAACCUGGAAUGUCCACUACCUUUGAGGUCAUGAUCCCAGCGUCAUGGGAAUGAGCCCUGUGUCAGGCUCUGAGCUGAGCGGAGCCUGCUUAAGAUGAUAUCUCUCUCUUUCCCUAUGUCCCUCUCCCCCAUUUGCACCCAAUCUCUCUAAAAAAAAAAGUCAGAUAUUAUAGCUUGCUUAUAACUAUCGAUGAUCAAUAUUUGAAUUUUAUAUCACUAGUGA
This 539-nucleotide long non-coding RNA is filed under the name Felis catus (domestic cat). Its description in RNAcentral is "lncRNA (ENSFCAG00000046560.2)". The record is from RNAcentral. Lineage: Eukaryota; Metazoa; Chordata; Mammalia; Carnivora; Felidae.